GAUGAACGCUGGCGGCGUGCCUAAUACAUGCAAGUCGAGCGAACAGAUGAGGAGCUUGCUCCUCUGACGUUAGCGGCGGACGGGUGAGUAACACGUGGAUAACCUACCUAUAAGACUGGGAUAACUUCGGGAAACCGGAGCUAAUACCGGAUAAUAUAUUGAACCGCAUGGUUCAAUAGUGAAAGACGGUUUUGCUGUCACUUAUAGAUGGAUCCGCGCCGCAUUAGCUAGUUGGUAAGGUAACGGCUUACCAAGGCAACGAUGCGUAGCCGACCUGAGAGGGUGAUCGCCCACACUGGAACUGAGACACGUUCCAGACUCCUACGGGAGUCAGCAGUAGCGAAUCUUCCGCAAUGGGCGAAAGCCUGACGGAGCAACCCCGCGUGAGUGAUGAAGGUCUUCGGAUCUUAAAACUCUGUUAUUAGGGAAGAACAAAUGUGUAAGUAACUAUGCACGUCUUGACGGUACCUAAUCAGAAAGCCACGGCUAACUACGUG
This 497-nucleotide ribosomal RNA is filed under the name uncultured bacterium. Its description in RNAcentral is "partial 16S ribosomal RNA". It matches the Rfam family "Bacterial small subunit ribosomal RNA", at positions 28 to 507 of the family's 1533-position model. The record is from RNAcentral.